UACGUAGGGUGCGAGCGUUAAUCGGAAUUACUGGGCGUAAAGCGUGCGCAGGCGGUCCGUUGUGUCUGCGGUGAAAUCCCCGGGCUUAACCUGGGAAUGGCCGUGGAAACUGGCGGGCUUGAGUGUGGCAGAGGGAGGUGGAAUUCCGCGUGUAGCAGUGAAAUGCGUAGAUAUCGUAAGGAAGACCAGUGGCGAAGGCGGGUCUCUGGACAGUUCCUGACGCUGAGGCACAAAGGCCAGGGGAGCAAACGGG
RNAcentral lists this ribosomal RNA (253 nucleotides) under uncultured bacterium. RNAcentral describes it as "partial 16S ribosomal RNA". It matches the Rfam family "Bacterial small subunit ribosomal RNA", at positions 524 to 776 of the family's 1533-position model. The record is from RNAcentral.